AAUUUUGCUACUUGCCGCCUCGGUGUCUCAUAUUAAUGGGCUUUGUAAGGCCCAACGCUCGCUUAUCAUUUUGUUUCUCGACGCCGAGCCUCGCCGUCUCAUCUUAAUCGGCUCCACCGUGUAUUACAUGUGUGACUAUAACAGAGCAAUAAGAGAGGAUAUUUUGAGGCCAGAAGUGGUGGAUCUUAUGGAGAGGUACGCAGUUGCUGAAUCAGUCUGUGUAAGCUUUAGUAACUUGGCUAAGGUGUUUCUUGACAAGCAUGUUCAUGCAAACACAUGAGAUUCAUAUGUAAUGUUAAGGAAACAAGCAUUGCUGAUUUUGAUUGGCUCCUUUUGAGAUGAAUGAGAAA
Arabidopsis thaliana (thale cress) is the source of this 350-nucleotide long non-coding RNA. RefSeq annotates it as other RNA. The transcript has a single exon. The record is from RefSeq. Lineage: Eukaryota; Viridiplantae; Streptophyta; Magnoliopsida; Brassicales; Brassicaceae.